Molecule: long non-coding RNA, 1239 nt
Filed under: Mytilus galloprovincialis (Mediterranean mussel)
Lineage: Eukaryota; Metazoa; Mollusca; Bivalvia; Mytilida; Mytilidae
Source: RNAcentral
AUAGUGUCACACUUUUAGCCACAGUGGGAGUUCCUAUGAGGAAUUGCAUUGUCUAUAUUUACAAAAAUGCAACCUUUAUUAGCUACUAUAUAGCUCGAACCCCUCCCGUUGUUGAUGGUUUGGCUAACUGGCCUGUGUAUUUUCAUAUGCUAGUGUAGGUUGUUUUAUGUAAAUAAACUCAUUAUAGAUACCAGGACUAAAUUUAGUAUAUACGCCAGACGCGCGUUUCGUCUACAACAGACUCGUCAGUUACGCAUCGUACUGUUUCCAAUUUUUAUAUUGUAGUUAGUCACAACUUGGGUUUUAUCAUGUAUGUCUUUUAUAUAGUAUUUUAUAAAAUUUGCUGUUGGCAAAAGUAUGACAUAUUCUAAAUAAUAAGGAUGUUCUGAUCCCAAACAGAAAACCCUGGUCGUAUUGGUCGCAACGUUUUGAAAGUUUUAGACUUUUGUGCUCUUCCACUUUGUACUUUUUCGCACUUUUUUCAUCUGAGUCACUGGUAAGACUUGUGUGGACGAAACGCUCGUCUGGUGUAUUAAAUUUUAAAUCUGGUACCGUUUGUAAGCUAUUAUUCUUUUUUUUUUUUUUUUUUUUUUUUUUUUUUUUUUUUUUUUCCAAGUAAAAAUAAUAAGCUAUUAUUCUAGUGUUUCUCUGUCCUAUAUGUUCUCCCAUUUAUUUGUAUUGUAGUCCUGUCAUGUAAUGUUGUCAUCUUAAUGUUAUAUUUAACAUUGUGAUAAAAGUGGGAGGUUUGGCAUGUCACAAAGAACAACCCACCAUUUCUGUCUUGAAAUGUCCUGUUCCAAGUCUAGAAAACUUUGUUAUAUUAUCUUUCUUUUCUGUGUGUUUUGCAUUUUAAUGUUGUAUUUCUGUUGUGUCGUAGUUUCCCCCUUAUAUGUGAUGAGUUUCUCUCAGUUUUAGUUUGUAACCUGGAUUUGUUUUGUUUUCUCAAACGAUUUAUGAAUUUCGAACGGCGGUAUACUACUGUUGCUUUUAUUUGAAUCAUCUAGAGUUUUCUUAACAAAAUGCCUGGACCACGUCGGGAUAUGACAGCUGUUUUCUAGCAUUGUCAGUUUUUAUGGGCUUUCUAUUUUUUUAUUUACCUUGGAGUUGUUUUGUUAUAAUUUUUUUCUUCAAACAUUCUGUUCAUAAGAUUGAUAGUGUAAGGAGUAUUUCAAAAAGGCAGUUGUACAUGGUGGAUUAAAACAAUGUAAAAUGAGAAACCAAGUAACAAAAUAACAAAUA